GCGGUGGAGCAUGUGGUUAAUUCGACGCAACGCGAAGAACCUUACCAGGGCUUGACAUCCCCUGACCGCGUAUGAAAGUACGUUUUCACCCUCGGGUGACAGGGAGACAGGUGGUGCAUGGUUGUCGUCAGCUCGUGUCGUGAGAUGUUGGGUUAAGUCCCGCAACGAGCGCAACCCCUACGUUUAGUUGCUAACGCGUGAAGGCGAGCACUCUAGACGAACUGCCGUUGACAAAACGGAGGAAGGUGGGAUGACGUCAAAUCAUCAUGCCCCUUAUGUUCUGGGCUACACACGUGCUACAAUGGCCGGUACAGACGGACGCAAAGCCGCGAGGUGGAGCAAAUCCUAAAAAGCCGGUCUCAGUUCGGAUUGCAGGCUGCAAUUCGCCUGCAUGAAGUCGGAAUCGCUAGUAAUCGCAGGUCAGCAUACUGCGGUGAAUACGUUCCCGGGCCUU
RNAcentral lists this ribosomal RNA (454 nucleotides) under uncultured Pelotomaculum sp. RNAcentral's name for it is "bacterial SSU rRNA". It matches the Rfam family "Bacterial small subunit ribosomal RNA", at positions 929 to 1382 of the family's 1533-position model. The record is from RNAcentral. Lineage: Bacteria; Bacillati; Bacillota; Clostridia; Eubacteriales; Desulfotomaculaceae.